This 30-nucleotide non-coding RNA is filed under the name Cricetulus griseus (Chinese hamster). The record is from RNAcentral. Lineage: Eukaryota; Metazoa; Chordata; Mammalia; Rodentia; Cricetidae.
ACGGGCUGGAGAGAUGGCUCAGAGGUUGAG